CAGAACAGGUUGCAAUUUAUCGGAAAAAUAACAGGACCAUUCAGUCGGCUGAUCGGUGUUAUUUGGACGCUUUGUAAACAAUUUUACGCCGAUAAAAUGUAAAGAGGUUGCAGGAAAAAACAUUGUUGCAGCACAAACAAACAAAUUAGUGGGAUAUUUUGCUGUUCAACAAUGACAGUUAUCUGUUUGUGACGAUUUAGUGUCACCAAUACUGGAUGACAUCUUUUGGGAGAAUGCAUAUUGCGGUGACCACAUCGUUCGGGAUAUUGUGGAUGAACUGAUCUCAGACUGCAUUAAAAGUGAAAAAGAAAACAACAAGAACGAGAUAUCUAACUGUGUUUGGUAUGAAAGUGACAACACCAGUGUGAUGAUUGGUAAGAACUACAGCGUCCUGUCCAGGGUUUGAGAAAAAAUGCCAACAUCGUCAGCUUAAGUUGUAUGUGCCACCUUGCUAACUUGUGUGCUAAAGCUUGGAUCCAAGCAUCAUUACCAACAGAAGACUUCCUUGUUGACAUCUUCUGUCAUUUCCAUCACAGUGCGAAAAGACGAAGCGUGCACGAAGAUACAAGAGAACCCUGGUCGAGCCAAGAGGUGUGCCAACAGACUUUCUGAUGAAGAGAUCUUUUUACACUACCAGUUUCUUGGGUUCAUCAUGUCAGUGUUAGAUGAGUUCAACACCACCUUUCAGUUACUUCUGUAUCCAUGAUAACCAUCAUGACUGUACCCUGUCCGCUGAGGCCAUUUUACACCUACGCAAGUCAUCAUGGGUAGUAAUGACAUUAAGAAGGUAGACUACAAUAAUCCAGACAACUAACGCAGUGACGAGACAAUUGCCAUUGGUUUGAAAACUAGAAAGUUCUUGCGUACCCAUUGUGAAGAAGUUGAUCAGCAGAUAGUCACUGAGUUCUUUAGUAACAAUAGAAAUUUCUACAUGUCUGUUGUUGAGAAGAUGUUGAAGAAGUUCCCACUAAAUGACCCAACGCUGUUGGCCCUUGGUUUUUUUCUCACCUGAUUCCACAGACAACUUAACAGCAGAGCAAAUUGUAUGUCUAUCAGAGAGAGUACUGCCAGCGAUUGACAGAGAGAAACUUACAGAAGAAUCCGAAGAGUACUUAUUUACGCCUACCGGAGACCUUCCAACAUUUAACAGAGAAGAAACACAAGAUGUGUUCUGGGUUGAAAUGGCAGAAAGAAAACUUCCAUAUGGCAACCCACAAUAUAAACUGUUGAGUGAUUUGGACCUUGUGACACUGACUUUACCAAAUUCAAAUUCAUCAACUGAAAGACUUUUCAGCAUGUUAAGAAAAUUACAGAUAUAUCACAGAGAGGAAACCUAGUCUUAGAUUCUGUACAUGUCAGUGAAAAUAAACAGUAUAAAUGACUGCCACACUUUCAGGCCAACAAAAGAAUUAAUUCACCCUUACCAUGCUGGACAUGAUUGGUUCUGCCUUUGCAACCAGUGCAGAUCAUGGUCAGCCUGCAUGUCCAUGCAGUCUGAUCAUGAUCUGCACUGUUCGCCAUUCAGUCAGUAUAUUUUUGGCAAGCACCCCUUUUAACAGUUAAUGGUACUGUCCAAAUUGGAAGUUGGACAAGUUCAUUAUAGUAAUUCAGCAGGGUAAGGGUAAAGAGUGUAAAAAGUGCAUGUAAUUAACCUACAAUGUUAAAGACUGGAAGAAGAGAAAUGUUCUGAGAACUCUGAGACUGUAAUCUCAAUAAUCUGAACUGUGAAUUGUACUAGAGUAUAUUUAUUGACGUUUUAAUUUUAUCAGCAAAAAUGUCCAUCGCUAGAUAAAUUCUGUUGUAUCUUA
Long non-coding RNA from Mercenaria mercenaria, 1808 nucleotides. RefSeq lists it as uncharacterized. The transcript has 6 exons. Lineage: Eukaryota; Metazoa; Mollusca; Bivalvia; Venerida; Veneridae. The record is from RefSeq and is a predicted model, not a curated record.